Molecule: ribosomal RNA, 406 nt
Filed under: uncultured bacterium
Lineage: Bacteria
Description: partial 16S ribosomal RNA
Rfam family: Bacterial small subunit ribosomal RNA
Source: RNAcentral
AUUGAACGCUGGCGGCAGGCCUAACACAUGCAAGUCGAACGAGUGGCGGACGGGUGAGUAAUGUCUGGGCACCUGCCUGAUGUAGGGGGAUAACUACUGGAAACGGUAGCUAAUACCGCAUACCAUCGGAUGUGCCCAGCGGGGAUUAGCUAGUCGGUGGGGUAAAGGGUCACCUAGGCGACGAUCCCUAGCUGGUCUGCGAGGAUGACCAGCCACACUGGAACUGAGACACGGGCCAGACUCCUACGGGAGGCAGCAGUGGGGAAUCGUGCACAAUGGGCGCAAGCCUGAUGCAGCCACGCCGCGUGUAUGAAGAAGGCCUUCGGGUUGUAAAGGACUUUCAGCGGGGAGGCGUUACCCGCAGAAGAAGCACCGGCUAACUACGUGCCAGCAGCCGCGGUAAUAC